GAGCAAUCGAGGAGGAGAAAGAAACUAUGUCCAAGUCGCACAAAGGAACCAGGGGAGAGAAACCACCAGCACCAAUGUCUGAGUAGACCGGAGAGAAUGGCCACGGAAGUGUCGGGGUCCAUCACUUAAAGGGAAGCCAACAGAUUCUCUUUGAUGUGAGAGGCCUGGUCAUGAGAAGAGGAGAUGUAAAAUGUAGUGAUUCAAUAAUUCUAAACAUUAUGCAGUACUCACCAUG
This is a long non-coding RNA of Hyaena hyaena (striped hyena), 235 nucleotides long. RefSeq lists it as uncharacterized. NCBI's taxonomy places the organism in Eukaryota, Metazoa, Chordata, Mammalia, Carnivora, Hyaenidae. The transcript is spliced from 3 exons. The record is from RefSeq and is a predicted model, not a curated record.